GAAAUUUUGUUGACAGAAGAUAGAGAGCGCAUAAAUUAAAAUGCCAUUAAGCAAACGCAUUUUAAAUCUUUGUGCUCUCUGUAUUCUGUCAUCAACGUGCA
This 101-nucleotide microRNA precursor is filed under the name Citrus sinensis (sweet orange). Its description in RNAcentral is "miR156d stem-loop (csi-MIR156d)". Its record names the gene csi-MIR156d. Lineage: Eukaryota; Viridiplantae; Streptophyta; Magnoliopsida; Sapindales; Rutaceae. The record is from miRBase by way of RNAcentral.